UAAUACGAAGGGGGCAAGCGUUGUUCGGAAUUACUGGGCGUAAAGGGCGCGCAGGCGGCCAAUCAAGUCAGAUGUGAAAGCCCCGGGCUCAACCUGGGAAUAGCAUUUGGGACUGAUAGGCUAGAGAUCGGGAGAGGAGAGUGGAAUUCCCAGUGUAGAGGUGAAAUUCGUAGAUAUUGGGAAGAACACCGGUGGCGAAGGCGGCUCUCUGGACCGAUACUGACGCUGAGGCGCGAAAGCGUGGGGAGCAAACAGGAUUAGAUACCCUGGUAGUCCACGCCGUAAACGAUGUGUGCUAGACGUUGGGAGACCUAGUCUUUCGGUGUCGCAGCUAACGCGAUAAGCACACCGCCUGGGGAGUACGGCCGCAAGGUUA
Molecule: ribosomal RNA, 376 nt
Filed under: uncultured bacterium
Lineage: Bacteria
Description: bacterial SSU rRNA
Rfam family: Bacterial small subunit ribosomal RNA
Source: RNAcentral